Molecule: ribosomal RNA, 377 nt
Filed under: uncultured bacterium
Lineage: Bacteria
Description: bacterial SSU rRNA
Rfam family: Bacterial small subunit ribosomal RNA
Source: RNAcentral
GACGAACCGUGCGAACGUUAUUCGGAAUCACUGGGCUUAAAGCGCGUGUAGGCGGGCGGGUACGUCGGCGACUGAAAGCCCCCGGCUCAACCGGGGAAGGGGUGCCGAAACGGCCGGCCUGGAGGGGCGUAGGGGGACCUGGAACUUCCGGUGGAGCGGUGAAAUGCGUUGAGAUCGGAAGGAACGCCCGUGGCGAAAGCGAGGUCCUGGACGCCAUCUGACGCUGAGACGCGAAAGCCAGGGGAGCGAACGGGAUUAGAUACCCCGGUAGUCCUGGCCGUAAACGAUGGGCACUGGGUAGGGGGCUCGCCGAUGGGCUCCCUGCCGCAGGGAAACCGUGAAGUGCCCCGCCUGGGGAGUAUGGUCGCAAGGCUGAA